GGUGUACACUUUCCUAAGCCGUAUGCAUCCUUGUCAUAUACAUACACAUUCAGGUUAAAGUAUUAUGCUACAUUAGAUUAAUGUAUACGUGUGCAAAAGCUACACAGAUGCACAAAUCACAUGUAAUGAUAGUAAUGUUACUACCCUGCAUCUUGUAAGACAAAGGUCUUAACAUCCUUCUGAGAACGUUAACACAAUCACACCCUGAAGCAGUUCAGACACCGACAGAAGGUGCACAUAAGCUUGUUGCAUCAUUACUUCUGCAGCAGACUGAGGAGACAGUAGACAGUGUGAAAAGUCCCCCAUUGCUGCAGCUUUUAUCUGAAAGUUAGCAACGGGAUUAUACCAGUGCUACGUAACGUCUGCUACUUGUGGUCUCAGAAGACGGCAACCGGUUGCACGUUACGUUGCUGAAGGGAAACCGCUGCUUCUGCAUCUGAACGCUGACUUCGGCAUCCGUAGAUGGAACCUGGUGAAGGAUAAAAUAGUUAUUGCUAAGGAUUCACACAAAGAAACUACAUGGGUUCUUUUGAAUAAAAUAUUAAAGAAGAACAAAGUUUUUAAGAAUGAUUCUGGAAUUUACUCUUUAAAUUUUUCUGCUGUAAAAAGAAGGUACUCAAUUAAAAUACAGCUGAAUGUUGAAGCUCCAGUGUCGAAUGUGACUCUCUCCCAGCUCUGUUUGCCGCACAGAGAGAUGAGGGUGUCCUGUUCCUCACAGGGAGACGCCAAGGAAUUCAGCUGGACCCUGGGGAACCAGAAACUGGACAGAACUGUAUCUUCCCUGAUCUAUCAGAAUAACAGCGUCGUACUGAAGGAGAACGUGCAGGGUAAUCUCACGUGUUCAGUUAGGAACCAUGUCAGCUACGGCGCCGUCACACGCGAACUCAUCCCCUGCCCAGGUAGAUCAC
Molecule: non-coding RNA, 908 nt
Organism: Paramormyrops kingsleyae
Lineage: Eukaryota; Metazoa; Chordata; Actinopteri; Osteoglossiformes; Mormyridae
Source: RefSeq, a predicted model, not a curated record